GGAGGGAUAGCGAAGCAUGGCCAACCGCGCAGGACUCAAGAUCAAUUUGCAACCAUGAGGGAUCCCGUCCCUUAGGGGUUCGUGGGUUCGAAUCCCACUCCCUCCA
Molecule: transfer RNA, 106 nt
Filed under: soil metagenome
Also listed under: 1 other name
Rfam family: tRNA
About the family: Transfer RNA (tRNA) molecules are approximately 80 nucleotides in length. Their secondary structure includes four short double-helical elements and three loops (D, anti-codon, and T loops). Further hydrogen bonds mediate the characteristic L-shaped molecular structure. tRNAs have two regions of fundamental functional importance: the anti-codon, which is responsible for specific mRNA codon recognition, and the 3' end, to which the tRNAs corresponding amino acid is attached (by aminoacyl-tRNA synthetases). tRNAs cope with the degeneracy of the genetic code in two manners: having more than one tRNA (with a specific anti-codon) for a particular amino acid; and 'wobble' base-pairing, i.e. permitting non-standard base-pairing at the 3rd anti-codon position.
Source: RNAcentral